Molecule: ribosomal RNA, 2989 nt
Filed under: Triticum aestivum (bread wheat)
Lineage: Eukaryota; Viridiplantae; Streptophyta; Magnoliopsida; Poales; Poaceae
Description: partial small subunit ribosomal RNA
Source: RNAcentral
CGGAAUAGGAGAAGGGUCCUAGGUCGGUCCUGAAUAGAAGAAGGAGAGCGGAAAGGAGAACUAGGCCCUGCUUCGUCUCGGUGUGGUGGCUUCCGGAGGAGGGGGCGGGAGGUUGGGUGCAGUCCCUGACGUUCGGGCGGCGGGGUUCGGGCGACGUUAGGUUGUGUCAGCGGUGGUCGACGAUGUUCGUUAAAAAAACGGCGCCACGGCGGCGAGCGUCGCCGCUAGCCCCUACUGCUUGCUGCAACGAUGCAGCCCCCUCUUCGUACGAAAACGUUCCCCGCGUGACGUUGUACCCCGGUCGACGCUCCCAACCCCCAGCGGCAAGCGUCGACGACGGUACCUCGUAGACCUUCGUGGCAGCUCUCAGUAGCCGCGACGCUCCGUUGUGAGCGGCCUCGGUCGGCCACCGCUACGUCGUAAGUUCGGUGGCGUUUUAACCUCCCCCGCGCUGCGCGUCCCGUAUCCACGACACCACGUUGGAGCAGCUGUGCGACUGCGACUCUACGUCGGAGUAGCCGCGACGACCACGACGUUCAGCGGCCGCCACUUCGACGUUACCUCUCGAGCGGCCGUCGUUGGGGCACGAGGCUACGUCGUGAGUGAACCCCGCCGAGGGGCACGUCGUCGCAUCGCGAACGGCCGCCGAGAGCUUCGAGCCACGAAGUUACCUCGAAAGUGCGCCGCCCAUGACACGAGGCUACGUUGCGAGCAGCGGCCACGAUGUUGCGUAGUGGUUCCUCCUCUGUUCUCCGCCGCCGUGAGUGACACAACAACGUUGCGUCGUGCGUUCCCCGCCGUCCGCCGAUGAGCACGAGGCAACGUUGUGAGCGGCUGCCGAACCCUAAAACGUACCGUCGUGAGCGACCGCUGAGGGCUACAACUCUCUAGCUUCCUCCCUCUCCCCGGACAAACACGCCACCCUCCUCUUCUGACGCACACAACUGAUAAGUUGGUGACUCUCUAGCGUAGCGCCCUUACCUUAGGCUUGUUUAGCUGUUUGAAUUUUAGGCGGCCCACGUUCCAGCAGACGCUAGAGUAGCUCCCGGUGCGCCUUCCAGCUGAGGACACUAGAGCAGUUCCCGGUGCGCUUCGCUGACGACAGCAAGCCGGUGUGGUUGGUACCGCGGCCGCCCCUUAGAUAUGACGAGGGGAGUUAACUUGACUACGUGGCAGAACCGAAACCAGUCUUCACCGCGUUGUAAAAUAGAGACGAGACCUCGAGGAGAAGGAGAGCCCACUACCAAUUACCACUUGACCCCGUCUCGAAGGAAGUGGCAGCGCCUGCGAGGCCGUCCCUCUGGGUGACAGCGGGUACAAUAAGUGGUAGCGGUAGCGGGGUGAAGUGACCUACAAAGCUCUUCCGGACGAGUCGAGUUACCCACGAGAAAGGUGAAACGUCGAGGGAGGGAGGGUCGAGUCCCAAUCAGACAUACGGCUACUAUGCCGAGAAAAGCAGAGCGGAAAUGCAGUCUAUAACUCCACUGGUUCCUCUAAGACUUGACAAAACCCUUCCGUAGACCGGAGUACCGAUUAGACCAUUUCUCACCGCAAUUAGGAUAACGAACACUGGUCCAACUAGACCUACGAGAAGAAGGCUUAAAAAGUUAAGGCCACGACGUUAAGGGGACGUUCAUAGAACCAGAUGGCAACGUAAUGUACUUUUAAUGGUCUCGAAUAGACGUUGGGUGGGACCUAUUUUACCAAAGCUCCGACGUUGCGACCUUCCCUUUGAUGAGAGAUUGACGCGAACAGAGGCCGAUUAAUCGAGCCAUGAGAGACGGUAAGGGAGCAUAGAGUAGAACCACAAGCCGACCUGUACACCCGACAGUUCGUUCACCUGUUCAACUCCGCGUUGAAGAAUACCUCUAGAUUUGGACUACGAUUAUCACUGUACCGAAACCAAUUAACCCGUUGCCAGACGGCGGGCUCUCUGGAUCCCCCGGAACUCCAGAACCUAAACGAUGCGAAGCCCGUACGAGAAGCGGACGCAACCUUUACCAAUCUAUACUCAGAUACCUACUGACUACUUUCUGGAACCUAGCCAAGGGGAUGAGGGACACUUAGAAACUACGAGUCCUACAGUGAGAAAAGUCCCGACACUGAUGGUAAGUAGACCCUUUACUAGCGUUCCGGAGGAAGACCGUACUCUCUACGGAACUGAGGACUGGAAGAAGGAGAGAGGUGGUCCUUCUCGUAGAUGAGGUCAAGUCGUCCGGUAGUUAUUGGUUAGAACCUACAGGCCCGACGUGGCGUAAAGGCUGCGUAGAGUCCACGCGGUCAAGUGGGUAGAGACCGAGCACGAAAUUGUCAAGUCGGUCCAUUCCUCCUACGAUAUUCAACCUUGACGUCGCGAAGACCGCAUAUGUGACGAUCGAAGCGUAUAAACCGCGUGAAGAUACAAAGGAAAAGGUGUUCGUUGAAGAGGUCCGAGACCUUCCGUUUACAACUCCGCUUUACAGCAAAGAAGUGUACCAAAACCUAAGUCCCGGCUUAAGAGUGGAUGCUGUUGGAGAGGCAGUCCCCUUACCGAGUAUUAGUCGAUACGUUAGACACACUGGUCCAACUCCUCUAGAGAGACGUAGAAUAGGAGUUCACAAGAAAGCGCUUCCUCCAAACCGAUAACCGCCGCCUAACCACACUGACAGGCUGGUGACGAAGAUUACGGCUUUUACGGUGGAGAAAGGAGUACCACCUCACUCGAAUGAACAGGGUACUUGCUGGUUACGUAGCAGCGCACAACCUCGUAAGGACAGACGAGCCAGGACCUCAGGAAGUGGACUAAUUCGUUCUAGAAGAAGACGAAGUCGGGUGAUGAUGACGGAAUGCCGAAAGUCUGACGCUCUUACUUGGUGGGGGACUCGGUGAAUAAAGAGAAUAAUACGUGUCCCACGCAAACCCGUCGGUAUCCGGAAACGGAACAUUUCGAUAGAGACAUUUUGAGAGAGAAGAAUUAUCAUAUUAUAUACGUCUAGUAACGGUCAAGGAG